This 532-nucleotide long non-coding RNA is filed under the name Zonotrichia albicollis (white-throated sparrow). RNAcentral describes it as "lncRNA (ENSZALG00000016414.1)". The record is from RNAcentral. Lineage: Eukaryota; Metazoa; Chordata; Aves; Passeriformes; Passerellidae.
CAAGUCUUUGCCAGCAGGACCCAGAGGCUCGUGGUGGGAAUUUCUAUUCACUGCCACAUGGAGCAGGAUAUUGGUGUUAUAUACAUGGAGUCCAUUUAAAAUUCUUUUUCACAUGUUUUCCCAUUGCUGCCUGAUUCUUUUCUUUUCUCCAGGGAAGGGGUGACAGCUGAUAUGCCCUGAUGUGUCAGGGCUGGGGAUCUAACAUGCUGGACCCAUCCAGGGGGUACCUAUGGACACCAACUCAGCCUUGGGACCCACCACAGCCCCACACCUCUGCCCAGGGAUGGAAAAUGCACCCACAGCUGCCAGCCCGCAGGAAAACAAGUGUGUCCUCUUCUGCCCUCCUCUGGCCCCUCCCAGGGGAAAGAUGUUGGGUACUGUCUCUCCAGCUGACUCUUUCCAAAUGAAGUGCACGUUUCUGAUGCCUCUACAAUUUUCUGAGAUGAAUAUUCUAUCUAUUCUUUCCCAAAUCAGCCAUGUAAGUAAGAAGCCUAACAGUGUUUAAUUAAAUCAUGUGUAUGAGGUUCAUUUU